GUGCCAAUGAGUUCAAGAGUGUUCCCUGCUUUCUUUUCUAUCAGGUUCAGUGUAUCUAAUUUUAUGUUUAGGUCUUGGAUCCACUGGGACUUGAGUUUUGUGCAUGGUGAC
Non-coding RNA from Peromyscus maniculatus bairdii (prairie deer mouse), 111 nucleotides. NCBI's taxonomy places the organism in Eukaryota, Metazoa, Chordata, Mammalia, Rodentia, Cricetidae. The record is from RefSeq and is a predicted model, not a curated record.